UCCCCAAUUAAUAAUGGAUACAACAUCAAAAAUAGCGAAUGGAUGCAAUUCGAAAAUUACGAAUGAAAAUUAAACCCUGUAAUAUGACAAUAUAUUUCUUCACAGGCCAACGACAUUGCUAUAAUCACACUGAAAUCGUCUCUGGAAUGGACUAACAACGUCGGACCCAUUUGCUUGCCACCUGAUAAUACCUUCGAAAAUAGGGAUGCAGUCAUAACAGGAUGGGGAUUGUUAGACUUCCCGGGGUCAACGUUUCCGGAUGAAUUACAAGAAGCAGCAGUCACUGUGUCCGACCUGAAGGAAUGCAAGGACGCUCAUGCGUUCUCGAACUUCCCUGUCACUGAUAAACAUAUUUGCGCCGCCGAUCCUGGAAGGGACUCCUGCAGGGGCGAUUCUGGGGGUCCCCUGAUGACGAAAGAAAACGGAGUAUGGGUGCUGCUCGGCUUGUCAAGUUUCAGCCCAAGGAAAUGUGCUACAGAAGGUGUCCCUGGCGUGUACACUCGUGUCUCUUCCUACAGUACAUGGAUACUCAGUAAAAUCUCUUCCGGAUCUUGUUAGUGCGUAUUGGCGAUGCA
Molecule: long non-coding RNA, 575 nt
Organism: Penaeus indicus
Lineage: Eukaryota; Metazoa; Arthropoda; Malacostraca; Decapoda; Penaeidae
Exons: 4
Source: RefSeq, a predicted model, not a curated record